UUGAGGCAUGCGUAUAAGAAAUUCUAGAAACCCUAAGUAAAAAAAUGGUUCAAAGCAAAGGAUCUUUCAGAAUAAACUCAAGAAUAAGUAAAACAUAGAGGAAAACAUGAAAAUAUCAUGAAGUAACACUGUUUUUGAGAGAUUCGGGAGAUAGCUAGGGUAUUAAAAAAGGGAAAACCUAAUCGAAGUGGAGAGAACCUGUCGAAACUUCAUAGAUCGUGACAUAUAAGGUGUGAUUUUUCCUGAGAUCACACCGGAGAACUCGCAAGUAGCAGAACCAGGAACUUUAGGUCUCAAUCACCAUGGUCCAUAAGCUCGAAGGUCCUAGAGGUGUUGAACAGAACGAUGAGAAGCCCAUCAGAGCCUUGAGGUUGAAGUGAGGUGGCCGGAGAUGACCAGAAACAAACUAGGCGAAGCUUUCAGGGAUUAAUUCACAUGGUGGUGCUUUUAGGGCCUCAAAAUAGAGGGAAUCGGUGAGCUAGGGUUUCAUGGCGGUUGAUGGUCGAAUGGGGUGAGAUUGGAGGUGGCCGGAGAGGAGGUGGAGAUCACCGGAGAAGAGAGAACCAGAAAGUUCUAGAGAGAAGAGAGGGGAAGAGACG
Molecule: long non-coding RNA, 599 nt
Filed under: Nicotiana benthamiana
Lineage: Eukaryota; Viridiplantae; Streptophyta; Magnoliopsida; Solanales; Solanaceae
Description: long non-coding RNA (NBEN_LNC028557)
Source: RNAcentral